UCUCUGUUAGUAUAUCGGUUAGUACACGCGCCUGUCAUUGUCGGUGCGCGCGAAAGCGGGGUUCGACUCCCCGACAGAGAG
Non-coding RNA from Cerioporus squamosus, 81 nucleotides. The record is from the annotation of a GenBank genome assembly. Lineage: Eukaryota; Fungi; Basidiomycota; Agaricomycetes; Polyporales; Polyporaceae.